GUGAAUCAUCGAAUUUUUGAACGCAAAUUGCGCCUUUUUCGGAAGGCAUGUCUGUUUGAGGGCACCAUUUAACAAAUAAUGUGCAGCGUUUUUUGUUGCACACGUUGAUGAGCUUUCCAAAUUUAUGUAUUUUUUUUGGUGCGGCUUAUUAAACAGGGGGUGGUUUUUUUUAGUUUGUGGGGUG
This 184-nucleotide unclassified non-coding RNA is filed under the name Paraglomus occultum. RNAcentral's name for it is "partial contains 5.8S ribosomal RNA and internal transcribed spacer 2". The stretch from base 1 to 65 matches the Rfam family "5.8S ribosomal RNA", at positions 84 to 154 of the family's 154-position model. Lineage: Eukaryota; Fungi; Glomeromycota; Glomeromycetes; Paraglomerales; Paraglomeraceae. The record is from RNAcentral.